RNAcentral lists this ribosomal RNA (492 nucleotides) under uncultured bacterium. RNAcentral's name for it is "partial 16S ribosomal RNA". It matches the Rfam family "Bacterial small subunit ribosomal RNA", at positions 29 to 507 of the family's 1533-position model. The record is from RNAcentral.
AGUGAACGCUGGCGGUAGGCCUAACACAUGCAAGUCGAACGGCAGCACAGUAAGAGCUUGCUCUUACGGGUGGCGAGUGGCGGACGGGGGAGGAAUACAUCGGAAUCUACUUUUUCGUGGGGGCUAACGUAGGGAAACUUACGCUAAUACCGCAUACGACCUACGGGUGGAAGCAGGGGAUCUUCGGACCUUGCGCGAUUGAAUGAGCCGAUGUCGGAUUAGCUAGUUGGUGGGGUAAAGGCCCACCAAGGCGACGAUCCGUAGCUGGUCUGAGAGGAUGAUCAGCCACACUGGAACUGAGACACGGUCCAGACUCCUACGGGAGGCAGCAGUGGGGAAUAUUGGACAAUGGGCGCAAGCCUGAUCCAGCCAUACCGCGUGGGUGAAGAAGGCCUUCGGGUUGUAAAGCCCUUUUGUUGGGAAAGAAAAGCAGCAGGUUAAUACCCCGCUGUUUUGACGGUACCAAAAGAAUAAGCACCGGCUAACUUCGUG